CAUGUCUGUUCCUGCUGGACAAUAAAUUCAUAAAUGAGGAAACUAAGGCUCAGAAAGGGUAAGUGAUUUGCCCGAGGUCAGACAGUUAGUGUCUGAGGCAAGAUUUGAACUCAGGUCUUUCUAGCUCCCAUCUAGCACUACCUGUUCCACUGUACCUACUAUUUCUAUAAGUUUUUAAAAGCCUAGAAUCAAAUUUACACUUGAUAUAAUUAGCAAAGAACCAUCAUCUUCUAUACAAUAUGUUUUCAAGCUGUUUUCUCUAAUGCAGUGAGUUCUGAUUUGGAGAAUUCUUGGCAUAAAAUAGUUCUCCCUGCAGGCCAGAUUACCUACUCAUACCUAGCUCUUGCAACUGUGGAAAUUUUUUCUUGGAACUUUACUUGUAAGUAUUUUUCAUUUACUGUAAUAUACUAUUAGAGUUGAAAGGGAUCUUUGGAAGUCCAACUCCCUCAUUUUGACUGAGCUAGGUCUGGAACCCAGGUGGUCUCUUAUCUACUAGCCCCACACCACACCAUAACAUUUUCAUAGUCAAGUGGCUGCAGCAGAAUUCAUGUUUCACUUUUUUUUUUUAGCGGGGAUGGCACAUUCUCUCAUGCCUCAACAGUAAUCAAAGAACAAUGCAGCCUGAUUGUCUGCUCAUCACCAUGAAUGUGGAGCCAGCCAUCAGAAGGGAGAGCUUUCUAGUUGCCUUGGUCUGGAGAGGAGAGCUGUCCAAAUCUGUGUCCCAGAAGCCACCUUCUGAGAUACUACCUCAACAUGGCACACUGAAUAUACAUCAGCAUAAAGUCGGUCAGCCAGGCAAUAAACAUUUAUCAAACACCAUGAGCCAAAAAGAGCUUGCCUAAUGGAAAAGGAUCCAGGAUCCUUCAAGGCAUCCUAUACAAUGUGGUGCUUUGAUCCCCUGGAGAGGAAAUGCCUCCAGUUCUUGUAUGGAGGGUGUGUAGGAAAUGAAAACAGAUUUCUCACCAGAAGGGAGUGUUAUCAGAGAUGUGCUCCAAAAUCAGCUGACAACAGCCUGUUCUGGGAUGAGGAUGAAGAAAUUAACAUUGGUCUUAUUGUGGGGAUCAUCGUGGGAUGUGUGUCAAUAAUUGUUUUGCUUGUGACACUGACUGUGGUCUUCUUGAAGAAGAAGAAGAAGAAGAAGAAGAAGAAGAAGAAGAAGAAGAAAAAACUUAAGGAAUGUCAAGUCUCCUCUUUAACAUCUGUAAAGGAGAUCUAG
Molecule: long non-coding RNA, 1216 nt
Filed under: Phascolarctos cinereus (koala)
Lineage: Eukaryota; Metazoa; Chordata; Mammalia; Diprotodontia; Phascolarctidae
Description: lncRNA (ENSPCIG00000031901.1)
Source: RNAcentral